Amblyraja radiata (thorny skate) is the source of this 1736-nucleotide long non-coding RNA. RefSeq lists it as uncharacterized. The record is from RefSeq and is a predicted model, not a curated record. NCBI's taxonomy places the organism in Eukaryota, Metazoa, Chordata, Chondrichthyes, Rajiformes, Rajidae. The transcript has 5 exons.
CGAACUUGCACUGUGGAGAUGCCAUGGGCCAAAGUCCCAACAGCUAUGUUCUAAUACUGUACAUGUAUCAAUGCAUUAGAUGCAUGGAGAACCCAGAAAGAAAAUUUGAAAACUCUGGAAAUUGCAAUUUCAUUAACAUUCAUUUUGAAGGAUGCAAAUAAUGUUAUCUACUGGAGACAUAACCAAAUAUUUCUGUUUGAUCAGCACCUGAAUGAUCCACUGGUACAGGUACGGCACGGUAAAGCUGAGGAAACCACUGUGAGGAUGCUGAAAUGCCAAUGAUUACAAUUCCAUGUAGCCAAGGAAAUGGGGAUGAAUUUCCGCUGAAUUCUUUCCAACUGGCUGCUGUAAUUCCUGGCUCACGUCAAACAAAUGGAUGUAACCAGCUCUUUUUAAGCAGUGAUUAUUAUUCUACAGUACAUGGCUUGAAGGACUGUGAAAUGAAGAAAGGAAAGGCACCAGUGAGAUAUAGCUUUCUAUCAAGAGUCCUUCAACUAAAUGGGUCAAAAUGGUUCAACAGUCUGGUUGAAAGAGAGUGGUUUAUUUGUACUCUCACAUCUUCAAGCCUUGAAUAGAAAGGCAUCAGAUAGUUUAGUGAGAGCGUUUGGUUUUGAUUUAUGGUAUAUGUUACAUUUGAAUAAAUUACAACAUUUGUACAAAGUUUGAUCUUGGGUAAAUUUAUUCUAUAGAGUUACAGUAAUUGAGGAUGGUUACUGUUUUCUAGAAGAAGCAAUUGAAAUCAUUCCAGUGUUAGAUUAAAAUUAUUUCAUUUUAUUUGAUGUGUGAGGAAGUUGUCUUUUUACAAAGUUAACUGGUAGGUCCAAAUAAAUGCAAAUGAGUGCGCUGUUGCACAUAGAUUGAGAAAACAAUGAAACUGCUAGAGAUUAGUUGUGAGGUCUUUAAAGCAAAGAAGUCUUAAGGAUGCAAGUCCUAGUAGAUACAGCAAUCACAAAAAAGGAGAAAUAUUGGGCAGGAAGGAAGCGCAGAUGCUGGCUUAAACCAAAGAUAGACACAAAAUGCUGGAGUAACUCAGCGGGACAGGCAACAUCUCUGGAUAUCCAUAGAAAUAUUGGGCAACUGAGUAUUAUAUUCAUUGGCUACUCCUUAAUGCUAUAAUGCAAGUGAAAGUAAGAAAAAGGUCAUUGAAAUCUGUACAAAUCAGUUUGAAAUAUGACCAGAUAGGCAAAUGGGAAAUUAAGGCAACACAGCCAUUAAAUUAUAUCAACGUAACAUUACUGUUUAAAUUAAUGGAGGUUUAGAAGUGUGAGAUAACUUCUUUCAUAGGUGAAAGAGGAAGGACCAGCUGACCCUGUGGAAACAUAUGAAGGUCUAAUGUGGAACAACCAAAUCAGAAAUUAGUACAAAAAUUAGCAGUAAAAUAAAAGUGAUUUUUAUUAGAUAAACCAAAAGCUAUCAUUUCCCAGUGUGUAGUUACAAUGGAAUCUAACAUGACAUUUUCUCUACUCAUUUUGAAAUUUAUCAAGAGGAUCAGACUAGUUUAACAAAGGAAUCGCAUAUUAUCGCAUGCCUAAACUGAACACAGAGGGAGCAGUGCCAAGUGAAUGUGUCAAAAGCAUUUAAGAUGUCAGGAGAAUCAGCGUGAGUUUCAACAUUUUGAUUUAAACCAUUGGCCCCAUGCUAAUAGAGAAACAGUUUGAGAUCAAGGGUAGAGUAACCUGGGAAGAAGCCAAACUCUUGAUGGAAGAUUAAGGAUGUGGAAAAACAGUUUAAACCAU